RNAcentral lists this unclassified non-coding RNA (197 nucleotides) under uncultured Cortinarius. RNAcentral describes it as "sequence contains ITS2". The record is from RNAcentral. Lineage: Eukaryota; Fungi; Basidiomycota; Agaricomycetes; Agaricales; Cortinariaceae.
AUAUAUCAACCUCCUCAAGCUUUUGCUUGUGGAGUGUAUGGAUGUGGGGGGAUUAUUUUGCUGGCCUUGUCAGCUCCCCUGAAAUGCAUUGGCAGAAUGAUUUGCUGACCGUUUAUUGGUGUGAUAACUAUCUACGCUGUCGACGUGAAGCAAGUUCAGCUUAUAAUGGUCCAUUGACUUGGACAACAUAUUUAUUA